Molecule: long non-coding RNA, 1984 nt
Filed under: Homo sapiens (human)
Lineage: Eukaryota; Metazoa; Chordata; Mammalia; Primates; Hominidae
Description: HSALNT0014228
Source: RNAcentral
GGAAAGAUACCGGAAGUGUUUCUGUGGCCAUCUUGAACAGAUCGCAAGCUAAAUCAUCCAUCUUAGGAGGUACAGACUACAGGGGGCCGUGGCUUCCUCUUAACCGCGGCAGCUGCUGAUAAAUACUGUACUAUUAACAGUGAGGCCCGGCGUAAUUUCCUUAUUAGAGGGCUUCUUUACGUCUCUUCAUCCCAAACUGGGAAAUGAGUCUCACCCUGAUGUCCAGGCUGGAGUGCAAUCACUCAGUCUCGGCUCACUGCAACCUCCACCUCCUGGGUUCAGAUGCUGUUGACUGGGGCAAAGAAUAAUGGGAGAAAAACAGCUGGGUCCUAAAUAACAGAGGGAAACCAACUUUCAAUAAAGUAUUCAACAACUAAUCCACAAAGCAGAUAACUGAACUGCCACAAGGUAAAUACUCAAUUAGGAUUAAUUAUGGUUAUUCUUCUUUUUUGAGAUGGAGUCUCACUCUGUCGCCCAGGCUGGAGUACAGUGGCGCAAUCUCGGCUCACUACAAACUCCGUCUCCCGGGUUCAAGCCAUUCUCCUGCCUCAGCCUCCCAAGCAGCUGGGACUACAGACGCCCCCCACCAUGCCCGGCUAUUUUUUUUUUAUUUUUUGUAGAGACGGGGUUUCACCGUGUUAGCCAGGAUGGUCUCGAUCUCCUAACCUCGUGAUCUGCCCGCCUCGGCCUCCCAAAGUGCUGGGAUUACAGGCGUGAGACACCGCGUCUGGCUAAUUAUGGUUAUUCUUAUCAUCAUCAUUUGAAAGAACAGUUGUAAAUAAAGAGAGUAAAUAAAUUAUCCUCCUUGUUCCUAAAAAGACGUUUUGUUAUAAAAGUCUUCUUUAUCAAUAAGAUGAAGUAAUGGAGGCAGGAGACAAGUGACAAUAAAAAACAGUCAUAAAAAAAGAACUGCAGAAACUAAGGUCUUAACCCAAAUUAGCAAAAGCAAAAUUGAAGCUCAAUUUUCAUUUUGGAAUAGCUCUACAAUUCCAUAAAUCUGCAAUUAAAGGUUUCUAGAUACCAAAGAGACACAAUGAAAGAGACAAAACAACAAAAAACACAUAAACACAGAUACAGAACUAGAGACUGCGACAGGUGGAGCACAUGACACAAUAGACUGACAGAGAAUAAAUCAAAAGAACAGAGAGGUGGACCAGAAAGAAAACAAGAAUUCAUGCUCUGUUUCACAGUAAUUUACGACUUCCCAAGCAGCCAGUUCUCCCAUCUCCCACUCUCCUUCCUUCCAGCUCCAUACAACUUACAUUAAAAGAUGCCAGGGCCUCAGAGACACUCUUCUCGAUGAACUCAUCAGUGAUUCUUCGGGAAGGAUGUUCAUUAAACACAGAAUUCAUUAGCGCAAUCUUUGCAGCACUCCUCCGGGCCUCAGCUUUUGUGGGGCAAAACUAGGCAGGGGAGAAAGAGUGAGAAUAUGUGUAUUUGUGCAUAUGAGAGAGAGGAAGGAACAGUGGGAGGGAAACACUUCAGAUAGAAAACACUUGGACGCUCUUUGGAUAAAUCAGUUGUGUUCAACACACUUUCCAAGGUUUUUAUGGUAAAGUGGUUGGGAUGUUUGGAAACAUAAUUUUGAUUCAACAUCCUGAAGUCAUUAAGGAACUGGGAGAGGGCUGUAGCUCAUACCAAACUGAAUGCAGAACGAGGAAGGCUGCUUAAGUCAGCAUAUAAUCACUGGUCAUGAAAAAUACCCGUUUAAACUGUCGACAGAAUUAGUUACUCAAAAGUCAGAUUCUGGCCGGCUUAAUAGAAAUCUGUAUCUUGUUCUGCGGACAGGUAAGGUUUUUUGGAUUCCUCUAGAUAACCCAAGAUUAGAACCAAAGCUGUGUCUAGGCUGCUUCUACAGAGGCCACUGGUCUCUAUCAGAAGCACCCAUCUUGGAAUCUCGGACUUCAUUUUUAGCUGUGAGCAGGCAUUUUCUCAAAUAACGUAGUGAGCCAAAGGAGCUAUCCCUGAGAAGGGUUUAAGUCUG